CCCUGCCAUUUGUACACACCGCCCGUCGCUCCUACAGAUUGAGUGCUCCGGUGAAACGUCGGGAGAGUGUACCUCCGAUCAGCAAUGGUCGAGGCGCACUCGAACUUCCUUAAAUUGACGCACUUAGAUGAAGG
This 134-nucleotide ribosomal RNA is filed under the name uncultured eukaryote. RNAcentral describes it as "partial small subunit ribosomal RNA". It matches the Rfam family "Eukaryotic small subunit ribosomal RNA", at positions 1651 to 1783 of the family's 1831-position model. The record is from RNAcentral.